AUUGCUUUUCGGCCUUUUCACUAAAGAUCAAGUGUAGUAUCUCUUCUUAUAAGUUUAAGAUUUGAUAAGUCUUCUAUCUGAGGACCAUAUAUUUAAUGGAUUUUUGAGAACAGGGGUCGAUUUCGAAGCUUGCUUCUGUCGCUCUAUGCAUUGACCUGAAAUUGGCAAUAUCUUCGGGCAAAGUGCACCAAAA
Molecule: small nuclear RNA, 193 nt
Organism: Hyla sarda
Lineage: Eukaryota; Metazoa; Chordata; Amphibia; Anura; Hylidae
Product: U2 spliceosomal RNA
Exons: 1
Source: RefSeq, a predicted model, not a curated record